AAACACAAACCACACGCUAUCUAAUGCAUCCUUCCUUCCUAGCUAGCUAGUCUCCGUUUUCCUUCGUCUCUCCCUGCCUCGCCGUACGUCUAGCUAGUUCUAGCUCUUCAGAUGAUCUUGUUGGUGUGCUGCUUUGCCCGUUCGUGGCCGUACAUGCAUGACAUAUAUAUAUUGCAAGCCGAARCAAUGGCCGCGGCGGCGGUGGCGGCAGGCGARGAARARGUGAAAGAAAGCUAGCUAGGGAAUAUGCCUGGCUCCCUGUAUGCCACUCGCACGGCUACCACACCCCGGUGGCCGCUGCGGCUGGCGUGCGAGGUGCCAAGCAUGGCCCCCUCAUACAUCUCUCUCAUUUCUCAUUGUUUCAGACUCAAGCUAACUACAUACUCGCCAUUUUUC
Molecule: non-coding RNA, 396 nt
Filed under: Zea mays
Lineage: Eukaryota; Viridiplantae; Streptophyta; Magnoliopsida; Poales; Poaceae
Source: RNAcentral